GGCGGAUGUCAGCGGUUCGAGUCCGCUUAUCUCCAA
This 36-nucleotide transfer RNA is filed under the name Carthamus tinctorius (safflower). Its description in RNAcentral is "partial tRNA-Ala". Lineage: Eukaryota; Viridiplantae; Streptophyta; Magnoliopsida; Asterales; Asteraceae. RNAcentral also lists the same sequence under 92 other names. The record is from RNAcentral.